This 337-nucleotide ribosomal RNA is filed under the name uncultured bacterium. RNAcentral describes it as "bacterial SSU rRNA". It matches the Rfam family "Bacterial small subunit ribosomal RNA", at positions 30 to 366 of the family's 1533-position model. The record is from RNAcentral.
AUUGAACGCUGGCGGCAUGCCUUACACAUGCAAGUCGAACGGCAGCGGACCUUCGGGUGCCGGCGAGUGGCGAACGGGUGAGUAAUAUAUCGGAACGUACCUUUCAGUGGGGGAGUAACGUAGCGAAAGUUAACGCUAAUACCGCAUAUUCUGUGAGCAGGAAAGCAGGGGAGUCGCAAGACCUUGCGCUGAUUGAGCGGCCGAUAUCAGAUUAGCUAGUUGGUGAGGUAAAGGCUCACCAAGGCGACGAUCUGUAGCGGGUCUGAGAGGAUGAUCCGCCACACUGGAACUGAGACACGGUCCAGACUCCUACGGGAGGCAGCAGUGGGGAAGUUUU